RNAcentral lists this ribosomal RNA (253 nucleotides) under uncultured bacterium. RNAcentral describes it as "partial 16S ribosomal RNA". It matches the Rfam family "Bacterial small subunit ribosomal RNA", at positions 524 to 776 of the family's 1533-position model. The record is from RNAcentral.
UACGUAGGGUGCAAGCGUUAAUCGGAAUUACUGGGCGUAAAGCGUGCGCAGGCGGUUAUGUAAGACAGUUGUGAAAUCCCCGGGCUCAACCUGGGAACUGCAUCUGUGACUGCAUAGCUAGAGUACGGUAGAGGGGGAUGGAAUUCCGCGUGUAGCAGUGAAAUGCGUAGAGAUGUGGAGGAACACCGAUGGCGAAGGCAGCCCCCUGGGCCGACACUGACGCUCAUGCACGAAAGCGUGGGGAGCAAACAGG